Molecule: RNA transcript, 1512 nt
Organism: Leptopilina boulardi
Lineage: Eukaryota; Metazoa; Arthropoda; Insecta; Hymenoptera; Figitidae
Gene: Rala
Gene name: ras-related protein Ral-a
Exons: 6
Source: RefSeq, a predicted model, not a curated record
UUUUUGGUAGAAGUAGUAGUGCACGUAAAAUACGUAUUUUACGUAAAAUACCUCGAGUGACGCAAGCCAGUUGUGAACAGUUGUGAAUUGUCGUGAAUAGUUGUAGUACACAAGAGGUUUUCAUUGUGAUCUAUCUUUCAAAGCACAAGAGAAAAUGUCGAAGAAACCAGGUGCUACUCAAGCGUUGCACAAAAUAAUCAUGGUUGGAAGUGGAGGUGUUGGAAAAUCUGCUCUCACUCUACAAUUCAUGUAUGCCGAGUUUGUCGAGGAUUAUGAGCCGACAAAAGCAGAUUCUUAUAGAAAAACAGUUGUAUUAGACGGCGAGGAAGUACAAAUAGAUAUUUUGGAUACUGCUGGACAGGAAGAUUAUGCAGCUAUUAGAGAUAACUAUUUUCGAAGUGGAGAAGGAUUUCUCUGUGUUUUUUCAAUUACAGAAGACGACAGUUUCCAAGCCACACAAGAAUUCAGGGAACAAAUACUCAGAGUAAAAAACGACGAAAACAUUCCCUUUUUAUUAGUGGGAAACAAAAGUGAUCUCCAGGAAAAAAGAAAAGUUUCAUUGGCCGAGGCUCAAGCAAGAGCACAACAAUGGGGCGUUCCUUAUGUUGAGACUAGUGCAAAAACAAAAGAAAAUGUCGACAAGAAAUUGCAUGGAUUGCGCAUUUUCAGGUAUUUUUCGACUUGAUGCGUGAGAUACGAUCACGCAAAAUUGAGGACAAAUCGGCGAGUAAUGGUCGUGGAAAGGAUCGAGCGAAGAGGAAGAAAAAGAAGUGCAUUAUUUUAUAGGUAUUUUUUGACUUGAUGCGAGCAAUAGCUGCUCGUAAGGCACACGAGAACCAAGGAGAAGCAAGUGACGGCAAAAAUGAAACGAAAUGUUGCACUCUACUUUAACAAAUCUUCAAAUAAGUAACCACAGACUUUGCGAGAUUUUUUUACACACGCCUCCCCAUUGGCAAAACCAAUUUUUGUGCAUAUAAAAUAAUACGUGUGACUUGUAUACCAAAAAAACAGAUUUUCUACCACUUUACAGUGAUUUACAAAAGUGCGAUUUUUUUUAUACACACCCGGUGAUGAAAAGUACCAAAGUCACCAAAAGUUAAAUCAUUGAAAAAAGACUAUUUUGUAAGAGAAAAAAAAAACUGGGAGAACUUUGUGGUACCUUACUUCUUUUCUUUCUUUUUUUUUUUCUAAAAACAUUCCCGGUGCUAAUAAAUAGUGUCUCUCAAAUCAUUAUAGUUCCUAUUUUAUAAGGAGUAUUAUUGUUAAUGAAAAAAAAACAAUUUUUUAACAAAAAUAAUAAUAAUUGACGCAUUUUGUUAAAAAAAAGUCUGUGAAUCAUUUUUUAAGUUUAGAGUGCUGAAGAAUUUUCGUUUUUAAUUAUUAUUUAAAAGAAGAAACAAUAUUUUCGUGUUCUUUUUUUGUUUUGGUAGAUAAUAAUAUAAAUUAUUCUCGUUUCAUUGAUAUUUGUAAGAAUUCUUUUUGAAAAUAAAUUAAUUGUUAUUUAUUUAUAGA